UACGAAGGGGGCUAGCGUUGUUCGGAAUUACUGGGCGUAAAGCGCACGUAGGCGGAUAUUUAAGUCAGGGGUGAAAUCCCAGAGCUCAACUCUGGAACUGCAUUUGAUACGUGGUGGCUUGAGUGCGGAAGAGGGUCGUGGAAUUCCCAGUGUAGCGGUGAAAUGCGUAGAUAUUGGGAGGAACACCAGUGGCGAAGGCGGCUCACUGGACCGGUACUGACGCUGAUGCGCGAAAGCGUGGGGAGCAAACGGGG
Molecule: ribosomal RNA, 254 nt
Filed under: uncultured bacterium
Lineage: Bacteria
Description: partial 16S ribosomal RNA
Rfam family: Bacterial small subunit ribosomal RNA
Source: RNAcentral